UACGAGGGGGGCGAGCGUUGUUCGGAAUUAUUGGGCGUAAAGGGUGCGUAGGCGGUUUGGUAAGUCUGAUGUGAAAUCUAUGGGCUCAACUCAUAGUCUGCAUCGGAAACUGCCGGGCUUGAGUGUGGGAGAGGUGAGUGGAAUUCCUGGUGUAGCGGUGAAAUGCGUAGAUAUCAGGAGGAACACCUGUGGCGAAAGCGGCUCACUGGACCAUAACUGACGCUGGAUGCACGAAAGCUAGGGGAGCAAACAGG
This 254-nucleotide ribosomal RNA is filed under the name uncultured bacterium. RNAcentral's name for it is "partial 16S ribosomal RNA". It matches the Rfam family "Bacterial small subunit ribosomal RNA", at positions 524 to 776 of the family's 1533-position model. The record is from RNAcentral.